This 254-nucleotide ribosomal RNA is filed under the name uncultured bacterium. Its description in RNAcentral is "partial 16S ribosomal RNA". It matches the Rfam family "Bacterial small subunit ribosomal RNA", at positions 524 to 776 of the family's 1533-position model. The record is from RNAcentral.
UACGAAGGGGGCUAGCGUUGUUCGGAAUUACUGGGCGUAAAGCGCGCGCAGGCGGUCUUCCAAGUCAGUGGUGAAAGCCCGGAGCUCAACUCCGGAAAUGCCAUUGAAACUGUGAGACUGGAGUACGAGAGAGGUGAGUGGAAUUCCCAGUGUAGAGGUGAAAUUCGUAGAUAUUGGGAAGAACACCGGUGGCGAAGGCGGCUCACUGGCUCGUAACUGACGCUCAGGCGCGACAGCGUGGGGGAUCAAACAGG